This 379-nucleotide unclassified non-coding RNA is filed under the name uncultured fungus. RNAcentral's name for it is "partial contains small subunit ribosomal RNA, internal transcribed spacer 1, and 5.8S ribosomal RNA". The stretch from base 1 to 73 matches the Rfam family "Eukaryotic small subunit ribosomal RNA", at positions 1759 to 1831 of the family's 1831-position model. Lineage: Eukaryota; Fungi. The record is from RNAcentral.
GCAAACUUGGUCAUUUAGAGGAAGUAAAAGUCGUAACAAGGUUUCCGUAGGUGAACCUGCGGAAGGAUCAUUAUUGAAUACGAUCGGUUACUGAUGCUGGCUCUUCACUGAGCAUGUGCUCGUACCGUCUAUUUAUCUUCUCUUGUGCACCUUUUGUAGUCUUUGAAAAAGUGAACCUACCCUCGCAGCAAUGCGGUUUGGGGGUUUGGCGGUGCCUAGCGCGCGGCCUGCUCCUGCCUUGCUUUUUUCAAGGACUAUGUUUUCAUAUACACUAUAAAGUUACAGAAUGUCUUUUAAAGAUUGUGCUAGUCGCAGUCAUUAAACCUAUACAACUUUCAGCAACGGAUCUCUUGGCUCUCCCAUCGAUGAAGAACGCAGC